CAAAUACUCCCUCCGUCCGAAAAUGCUUGUCAUCAAAAUGGAUAGAAAAGGAUGUAUCUAGAAUUACAAUACAUCUAGAUGCAUUUUCUUUUCUUCAUUUUGAUGACAAAUAUUUCUGGAUGGAGGGAGUAGGAG
Non-coding RNA from Triticum aestivum (bread wheat), 135 nucleotides. The record is from Rfam. Lineage: Eukaryota; Viridiplantae; Streptophyta; Magnoliopsida; Poales; Poaceae.